AAGGUUGACAUUUAUUCAACUUUUUUGUAUAAUAAUUAAGUAUACUUGUUAUACUAUAGCAAUAAAAUUACCUUGUAAUAGGUGUAUUGGACCCGAGGGCAGUACUCGGCGCCUCCACCAUUUUUGUCCAUGGGGGCGAGUCAGGAUCGACAUGCAUAGUAAAGAUGGUAGCUUUGCUCGGUUAGAUACCACCGCUAAGAGUUCAUAAUUUAAAUGCAAACGAUAACGUUAGCUCCGAUUGUGGUAAUGUGGCACUUGCUGCUUAAUUCAGCACAGUAACUUUAUUACUAUGAACACGGUUUGGGAAACACCGGGUAACAGAAGUUUCCCAAG
RNAcentral lists this transfer-messenger RNA (333 nucleotides) under Wolbachia endosymbiont of Pentalonia nigronervosa. It matches the Rfam family "Alphaproteobacteria transfer-messenger RNA". Rfam says of the family: Bacterial tmRNA, also known as 10Sa RNA or SsrA, is named for its dual tRNA and mRNA-like properties. Its role is to liberate the mRNA from a stalled ribosome. Lineage: Bacteria; Pseudomonadati; Pseudomonadota; Alphaproteobacteria; Rickettsiales; Anaplasmataceae. The record is from RNAcentral.